UACGGGGGGGGGCAAGCGUUGUUCGGAAUUACUGGGCGUAAAGGGCUCGUAGGCGGCCAACUAAGUCAUACGUGAAAUCCCCCGGCUUAACCGGGGAACUGCGUCUGAUACUGGAUGGCUUGAGUUCGGGAGAGGGAUGCGGAAUUCCAGGUGUAGCGGUGAAAUGCGUAGAUAUCUGGAGGAACACCUGUGGCGAAAGCGGCGCACUGGACCACAACUGACGCUGAGGCGCGAAAGCUAGGGGAGCAAACAGG
Molecule: ribosomal RNA, 254 nt
Filed under: uncultured bacterium
Lineage: Bacteria
Description: partial 16S ribosomal RNA
Rfam family: Bacterial small subunit ribosomal RNA
Source: RNAcentral